RNAcentral lists this ribosomal RNA (500 nucleotides) under uncultured bacterium. RNAcentral's name for it is "partial 16S ribosomal RNA". It matches the Rfam family "Bacterial small subunit ribosomal RNA", at positions 30 to 523 of the family's 1533-position model. The record is from RNAcentral.
AUUGAACGCUGGCGGCAGGCCUAACACAUGCAAGUCGAGCGGAUGACGGGAGCUUGCUCCUUGAUUCAGCGGCGGACGGGUGAGUAAUGCCUAGGAAUCUGCCUGGUAGUGGGGGACAACGUUUCGAAAGGAACGCUAAUACCGCAUACGUCCUACGGGAGAAAGCAGGGGACCUUCGGGCCUUGCGCUAUCAGAUGAGCCUAGGUCGGAUUAGCUAGUUGGUGGGGUAAUGGCUCACCAAGGCGACGAUCCGUAACUGGUCUGAGAGGAUGAUCAGUCACACUGGAACUGAGACACGGUCCAGACUCCUACGGGUGGCAGCAGUGGGGAAUAUUGGACAAUGGGCGAAAGCCUGAUCCAGCCAUGCCGCGUGUGUGAAGAAGGUCUUCGGAUUGUAAAGCACUUUAAGUCGGGAGGAAGGGCAGUAAGCUAAUACCUUGCUGUUUUGACGUUACCCACAGAAUAAGCACCGGCUAACUCUGUGCCAGCCGCCGCAGUAA